RNAcentral lists this unclassified non-coding RNA (692 nucleotides) under Bombus terrestris (buff-tailed bumblebee). RNAcentral's name for it is "misc RNA ENSBTSG00005029137.1". Lineage: Eukaryota; Metazoa; Arthropoda; Insecta; Hymenoptera; Apidae. The record is from RNAcentral.
UAGCAUUAGUUACGCCACGUCGCAGUCUCCAUUCAGUGCACAUUUCAAUUCGAAUUUGUAGUGUCUUUUCAUAAUCUUCUGCGUUGUUCUAUGUUUUAUUGCUUUUUAAAAUAAAUAAUUAUUAAAUAAAUUAGUACUGGGCCGAAAAAAUUCUUAAAUCCAGUUAAAUAGAGACUGUUGUUAAAUAGAGAUGAAAGGAGAAAUUAUACCUAAAUAUGAGGAUGGCGUUUACAUCUUGGAUUUAAACUAAUUAACAUACAAUACCCCAUGGUUUUAUGGAAAGGAAUUCCUCUUACUAAAGCAACACCGACACCGCAGUAUUGGUUGAAGGCGACCGCUGCAACCUCACCAGCACAGCGUGUUCCGUGCUUGUUGUCACCGUUGUCUCUUGGCAUUGGGUCAUUGUCAUUGUCAUUGAUGUCUGUGCUAGCUUGGUGAUCGUAAUUCAAAGCCAGGUCCGGAUGAUUCGUCUGUAUACCGUCGUCGAGGAUCGACACGACCACACCUUUGCCAGUGUAACCCUUUUGCCAUGCUGGGCCAAGAUUCAUAUCGUAACCAUCCUUAGCUCCGCCGUUCUGGAAUUAGUUCAGUAUUAUUUCUUGAUUAACAUGGAGUAGAGUGUAAACAAUCAAUGAUACCAUUAUAAAUGACAUUAUUCUGAAAAUAUAUGUGUAGCGGCACAUGAGUCAGAG